GGCUCAAUGGUCUAGUGGUAUGAUUCCUGCUUCGGGUGCAGGAGGCCCCGGGUUCGAAUCCCGGUUGAGCCC
Molecule: transfer RNA, 72 nt
Filed under: Xylariales sp. No.14919
Lineage: Eukaryota; Fungi; Ascomycota; Sordariomycetes; Xylariales
Description: fungal sp. No.14919 tRNA-Pro
Rfam family: tRNA
About the family: Transfer RNA (tRNA) molecules are approximately 80 nucleotides in length. Their secondary structure includes four short double-helical elements and three loops (D, anti-codon, and T loops).
Source: RNAcentral